RNAcentral lists this ribosomal RNA (500 nucleotides) under uncultured bacterium. RNAcentral describes it as "partial 16S ribosomal RNA". It matches the Rfam family "Bacterial small subunit ribosomal RNA", at positions 30 to 523 of the family's 1533-position model. The record is from RNAcentral.
AUUGAACGCUGGCGGAAUGCUUUACACAUGCAAGUCGAACGGCAGCACGGACUUCGGUCUGGUGGCGAGUGGCGAACGGGUGAGUAAUGUAUCGGAACGUGCCCAGUCGUGGGGGAUAACGUAGUGAAAAUUACGCUAAUACCGCAUACGAUCUAUGGAUGAAAGCGGGGGAUCGCAAGACCUCGCGCGAUUGGAGCGGCCGAUAUCAGAUUAGGUAGUUGGGGGGGUAAAGGCCCACCAAGCCAACGGUCUGUAGCUGGUCUGAGAGGACGACCAGCCGCACUGGAACUGAGACGCGGGGCAGACUCCGACGGGAGGCAGCAGUGGGGAAUUUUGGACAAUAGGCGAAAGCCUGAUCGAGCCAUUCCGCGUGCAGGAUGAAGGCCCUCGGGUUGUAAACUGCUUUUGUACAGAACGAAAAGGUUUCUACUAAUACUAGGAGCUCAUGACGGUACUGUAAGAAUAAGCACCGGCUAACUACGUGCCAGCCGCCGCCGUAA